This is a long non-coding RNA of Papaver somniferum (opium poppy), 1960 nucleotides long. RefSeq lists it as uncharacterized. The record is from RefSeq and is a predicted model, not a curated record. The transcript is spliced from 6 exons. Lineage: Eukaryota; Viridiplantae; Streptophyta; Magnoliopsida; Ranunculales; Papaveraceae.
UUACAAGGGUUAGCAAAUUUUCCUCUUUCUUUCGAUCCACAACAAAUCUAGAAAAAAUCCAUAGCCGGAGUUCUCUUCACAGAUCCAGCUUAAUCGUUAGUUUUUUUUCUAAAUCAAAACCUUAAAAACCUAAUUAUCUUCUCGCUAUAAUUUAUCACGUUUCGAUUACCGUUUUCGAAGGGGCGGAUGUAUGCACAGACUUCCCCUGCUUGGGUCUAUUGAAAUCAGCAGUUUCUCUCACCUGUAAUCAUUUGUUUUGUGAAGGUUCAAUUCCAACAGAGGCUUGAGGCGGAGUUGCAACUCAAAAAUCUUAAGCUGGCCAAAUCUAGGAUUUCGCUACAACAAGCGAAGGAAUAGGAGUUUAGGGAGGGGAUAAAAACACGGCAUAUUCCCAUAGCUUGGCAGAUAAUUGCAGGCGAAGAAAUACCAUUUCGAAGUUGGUUGUGGAGAAUAAAGAUUGUUUUGAUCAGGAAAUAAUUAAAAGAGAGAUUAGGCAUUUUUAUAUGUCGGAAGGCGUAGCUUAGACCCUCGCUUGAUUCCUUAGAGUUUGCUCAGUUAAGUCUAUGCAGCGGUGGUCAACUAUAGCAAAAAUGGUUGUGAAUAAUAUUUGGAAGAAGAUCAAUUGAUGCGCUCUUUAGGAGGAAGAACAGUCGCAUUUAGUGCAAAAAGUGCGUACACAACAUUGUUAGCUCAAGCAACAGUGGUGGAGAAACAAGUCUGUAAUAUAGUUUGGGCGAAAGAUGUACCUCCCUUUUUUUGUAUGGGCUGGCAAGGUUCUCUGCCUACUCUUGAUGUCCUCAACUCGAUGGGUUUUCAAGUUGAGAAUACAAUGCAUGUGCAAGCUAUGUAAAAUGGAGCAGGAGACUUUGUUCAUAUAAGUUCAAUGGUUGCUUAGCGUGGAGCAGGAGACUUUUCAUGGACAGUAUGGGUUUUCUUUAUGCGGGCGUGCAAGAUGAAAUGGUUGCUUAGCUUCGAGAUGAAUAAGUUCAAUGGUAAAGACUAUAAAUUUGCAUAUUACUACCAUAUGCAAUUAUGUGGUCUUUAUAGAAAGAACGGAACAUGAGAGUCUAUGACGGAAAGAGGAAGACUUCAUGCAUGGAGAGCUCUAAAGCUACUAACCCUCAAGUAGCAGCCGAUGAUGAAGACAUGGAUCCUACUGUCUUGUCUGUAGCAUCAUACAUCAACUGUAGGCGUCCAAGAAAUGCAGUUGCAAGAAUGGCUGCUAGCCCUAACUAUGCAACCAAAACUAGUAAAACACUAGAAGAGGACACAUCAAAUGCCCAACUAUAUUUUAAUUAAAGUUUCUUAACAGAGCAGUAACAAACAAACCUGCUCAUCCACUACCACCUUAGAACAGAUAGAGGGGUAAAAAUAGUCUUCAGAGUCCUUUUCAGUUCCAAUUUUUGCUUGUACAAUCAUGUAAUUGUUCCAUUUGCGAGAAGGGAUACCUUGUUGGUGCUUGAGAGACCAUGGAUUGUAUCAUGUGUGGUUUGAAGGAUAUAUGGCCUAACUUCAAUCGGGAAAAAUGCAACAAUGCUGUAUUGAAGUACGUCCCGAAAAGACAGGUCUGUUGUUCUGGGGUUAUGCAGCUGAUUAUUCUACCAUGAUUUUUUAUAAUCUUGAGGUUAUUCAAGGAAGUUAUGCGAAAUCAAUUGCACCAUUGUGGCAUAGUUAGGGUGGAUCAAUGAUUUCUGAGCACCAGAUUUACAAGAUGAAGGCAAUGCCUUGCAUUGAUAGUGAAGGUGCCAGCUUCGAUGUUGAAUCUCACAUUGCGGAAAAAAGAUUAUUUCACGAGCUGGUUUAACCAUGCCUGUAUUUCGGCUUAAUGUCUUCUGAUUUAGUGUUCUUGUUUUGUACUGUUAGGGUUUGAGUAUUAUUUUUAGUCUGGUUUGUGUGUAUUAUUGUACAGUUUUGGUGUUAUGAAUCUUUCAACCAACUGUAUCCAAUUUUUCUGGAUAUA